This 414-nucleotide long non-coding RNA is filed under the name Mytilus galloprovincialis (Mediterranean mussel). The record is from RNAcentral. Lineage: Eukaryota; Metazoa; Mollusca; Bivalvia; Mytilida; Mytilidae.
GUGGGACGAACAAGGUGAAGUUUGCAUUGACGGAAAAGUUAUUUCAAACACUCAUAUCGUUGACUUGAUACGUGAUUCAACAGUUCCAAUUGGUCGUAGAAAACUAACAGCUGGUAUACAUCAAUUCUACCAAUUUCUGAAGUCUACUAACAUUCCACUUCGUUUGUUUAGGAAUGUCGAAAAAAACAAACAAAGUACGAUUCGAGUCUACCUCUUAUAAAGAAAAGAAAACAGAAGAAGAAAAUAAGGAGAAAGAAGAAACAGAUGAAUACAGUGAAGAUAGUGACAAUGAAUACAUCCAACAAAAUAAAAAGACAAAAAAGACAGAAACUAAUUUGGAAACCCAAAAGAAAAUGUAUGUGCAACGAGACAUAAACAGUAUAUUCACAAUAAAAAAGAAGAGAAAAAAAUGGU